UUCUGUAAGCCGUUGAAGGUGUGUUGUAAAGCAUGCUGGAGGUAUCAGAAGUGCGAAUGCUGACAUGAGUAACGACAAGGGGGGUGAAAAACCUCCCCGCCGGAAGACCAAGGGUUCCUGUCCAACGUUAAUCGGGGCAGGGUAAGUCGACCCCUAAGGCGAGGCUGAAAAGCGUAGUCGAUGGGAAACGGGUUAAUAUUCCCGUACUUCUUACAAUUGCGAUGGGGGGACGGAGAAGGCUAGGUGGGCCUGGCGACGGUUGUCCAGGUUCAAGUGCGUAGGCU
Molecule: ribosomal RNA, 284 nt
Filed under: Vibrio vulnificus
Lineage: Bacteria; Pseudomonadati; Pseudomonadota; Gammaproteobacteria; Vibrionales; Vibrionaceae
Description: partial 23S ribosomal RNA
Rfam family: Bacterial large subunit ribosomal RNA
Source: RNAcentral